UUGGUGCCUGCCAAAGAUUAAAAAGAUUCAAAAAUAUAUAAAUUUGUGCAUUCAGAUUCAUCCAGUCUUCACAACCAGAUAAAGCUCCAAAAUUACAUCACUAGGUAAAGGCAUAAUCUAUUGUUAUAAUAUGUAAACAUAAAAAAAUGGUUGUGCAUUCUCUUGCUAAAGUACUGGAAAGUUAUAAAUUGCUUCUGGGUUUAAAGACUCAGAGAUUUUUUUAUAUAAUGAACAGCAACACCAUUUUGUUUAAGUCAAAUGUAUUCACCGUUGCAAUGCUAAUCCUUAACAGAAUUCCCAGAAAAGGAGUUCAUCAUUUGUGAUGUCAAUGAGGUGACAGUAUAAAGCUGGUCCCAAAUACAACCUGGAUGUCAGAGUCAAGUGUCAAGUUGACUCACUGUGCAAUGAAACUUUAUUUUGAGUUUUCUGGUUAACAAAUCUUUGCCUUGGCUGGGGAUUUUUGAUUGUGUAUUGGUUCUGGUGAAAGAGGACCUUUUGAUUCCCAUUUUCACCAAUGCCCAUUCUUUGACUUAUACAUCUCCUGAUCAUCGUAAUUUUUCAUUUAUUUUCUUUUGCAAGUUACUACAUCUGUACAUUUAGCCAAAUUUUAAAUUUUAUGUAUGUAUAUAUAUAUAUUGUAAAUGCCACAUGGGUUGAAUGGGCGUCCCGGCCAGAAGAGGGGAUGGUUCCUCACCUGGACAGGAGGCUCCUAAAAAGCAGACAGGCAUCCCGGAUGGAGAGGAGAAGGGGAUCACACUCAGAAGAGAGAGCCAGAAAGGAUGGAUGGACAGCCCACCAGAAAGAAAUAAUGUGACUGGAGUUUUUUAAAUCCCCCAGCACACUACAUGGCAGUGGCCCUGGAUAUCGCUGCCUAGUGGGAAGCCAGCAGAGCAUGCCGGGAAAUGUAGUCUGGCACAGCCCUGCUGCGGUCACUGGGUACCGCAAGAGCUCCCUGCUGUAAUGGACCUUCAUAUAACCCAGAAGUGCUUCCAUCGGGCAGUGGACCCCUACACAGGAAGUACUCCCAAGGUCCUUAAUAACUCCCUUGUUCAGGUAAGUCAGAACUGGGAGGAAGAAAGGCAAAACUCAACUGGAGGAGGGCAGUGCAGUGGUAAGAAUUGGAAGCAGAGAGAAUUAUGUCUAUUGAAGAGAGAAAUCUGUGUUUUUGUGAUAGUUUGUCGUACUGUGGAAGGAAUACGGGUGAAUAAACCAUCCUUUAUUUGUACCUGGGACUCUUGGUGUGUUUGUGUUAGGGGUUUGGGCCACUGACUCCCUGGAAUCCUUCACUAUAUGUAUAUAUGUAUGUGAGUAUGUAUUGGUGUAUUUAUGGAAGCUGUACUAUAAAUUAAAUUGACUUGAUGAAUCUUCUAUGUAUCUCUAGUUGCUCUCAUGUGCUACUUACGUUGUGCCUUGUACCUCACUUGGAUUCAGACGCUACACCAUCUGCCUCACUUUCCUCAACUCGAUGAGCAAAUUAAAGCCACGAUCCUUAAGGAGACUCACAAGUGGUCACCCACACAGGCCGGUGAAUUUUAGAAGAGGGGAAGUAACUUUUGCUUGCAGGGGAUUCAAUACAAUGGGUCUUCUUUGAAGUUGGCUACACAGGCCUUUGAUCAGGCAGUGGCAGAACAGAACACCACCACAGAAGAACCAGAAAAGAAAACAUUGUUUUAUAAUCACCAGAAGGUGACAUCAAUGUGACAUCAUUGCAACCCUCACCCUCUGUAUUCAGGCAGAAGACUAACACAAAGCCAGAUUUAGUACACAGGGGCUCAUCAUUUAG
Molecule: long non-coding RNA, 1783 nt
Organism: Polypterus senegalus (gray bichir)
Lineage: Eukaryota; Metazoa; Chordata; Cladistia; Polypteriformes; Polypteridae
Exons: 4
Source: RefSeq, a predicted model, not a curated record